Molecule: ribosomal RNA, 1500 nt
Filed under: uncultured Bordetella sp.
Lineage: Bacteria; Pseudomonadati; Pseudomonadota; Betaproteobacteria; Burkholderiales; Alcaligenaceae
Description: partial 16S-23S ribosomal RNA intergenic spacer
Rfam family: Bacterial small subunit ribosomal RNA
Source: RNAcentral
GGUUCGAAGUGCAAACUCAAAUUGAACGCUGGCGGGAUGCUUUACAUGCAGAAUCAACCUUUGGACUUCGGUCUGGUGGCGAGUGGCGAACAGGUGAGUAAUGUAUCUGGAACGUGCCGCCUGAUAGCGGGGAUAACUUACGCGGCGUAGCUAAUACGCAUACGCCCUUCGGGGGAAAGCGGGGGACCUUCGGGCACUCCACUAUUGAAACGGCCGAUAUCGGAUUGGCUAGUUGGUGGGGUAACGGCUCACAAGGCGACGAUCCGUAAGCCUGGUUAGAGAAGAGACAGCAAACACCAUGGGACUGAGACACGGCCCAGACUCCUACGGGAGGCAGCAGUGGGGAAUUUUGGACCGUGGAAACCUGAUCCAUGCAUCGCGUGUGCGAUGAAGGCCCUUCGGGUUGUAAAGCACUGCAGCGGAAAGAAACGGCGCAGGAUAAUACCCGAUACGGCAAUGACCUGAGAGAAUAAGCGCAAGCCAACUACGUUACCGUGACGCGAUGACACGUAGGGUGCAAGCGUUAAUCGGAAUUACUGGGCACUCCGGCGUUCGCGGGCGGUUUCGGAAGAAGCGUCGCCACAAUCUGAGCUUAACUUUGGAACUGCAUUUUUAACUACCGAGCUAGAGUGUGUCGGGGGAGGUGGAGUAUAACGGUAAAUGCUAGAUAUGCGGAGGAACUGCCGAUGGCGAAGAGCAGCCUCCUCAGGAUAGCACUGACGCUCAUCACACGAAAGCAAUGGGGAGCAAACGGGAUUGGAGCUCUUUUAAUGCGUCGCCUCUUGAUGUCUAUAACUAACUGUCUUGGGGCCUUCGGAGCAUGAAGUAGCGCAGCUAACGUAAAGUUGACCGCCACCAGAGAUACGGUCGCAAGAUUAAAACUCAAAGGAAUUAGACAGAGAUAUAUAAACAGUGAACAAUCGGAUUAAUUCGAUGCAACGCGAAAACCUUACCUGCCCUUGACAUGUCUGGAAUCCCGAAGAGAUUUGGGAGUGCUCACAAGAAGAGCCGGAACACAGGUGCUGCAUGGCUGUCGUCGCUCGUGUCGUGAGAUGUUGGGUUAAGUCGCAACGAAGCGCAACCCAUAUCGUGGGUGCUACGAAAGGAGCCUCUGUGAGACUGCCGGUGACAAACCGGAGGAAGAUUGAGAUGACGUCAAUCGCGGCCCUUAUGGGUAGGAGAAACACCACCCGUCAUACAAUGGUCAGAACAGAGAAUCGCCAACCCGCGAGAGGGGAGCCAAUCCCAGAAACCCGUCGUAGUCCAGAUCCGCAGUCUGCAACUCGACUGCGUGAAGUCGGAAUCUAGUAAUCGCGGAUCAGCAUGUCGCGGUGAAUACGUUCCCGGGUCUUGUACACCGCCCGUCACGCGGGAGUGGGUUUUGCCAAAUGGUCGCCUAAUAACAUGGGAGGGCGAUUACUACGAUAGGAUUCACCGACUAGGGUGAAGUCGUAACAAGGUAAUAUAUUUUUCGAUGCUCAGGAGCAAUACGUGGCUUUU